UACGAAGGGGGCUAGCGUUGUUCGGAAUUACUGGGCGUAAAGCGCACGUAGGCGGAUAUUUAAGUCAGGGGUGAAAUCCCGGGGCUCAACCCCGGAAUAGCCUUUGAGACUGGAUUGCUUGAAUCUUGGAGAGGUGAGUGGAAUUCCGAGUGUAGAGGUGAAAUUCGUAGAUAUUCGGAAGAACACCAGUGGCGAAGGCGGCUCACUGGACAAGUAUUGACGCUGAGGUGCGAAAGCGUGGGGAGCAAACAGG
Molecule: ribosomal RNA, 253 nt
Filed under: uncultured bacterium
Lineage: Bacteria
Description: partial 16S ribosomal RNA
Rfam family: Bacterial small subunit ribosomal RNA
Source: RNAcentral